UAUUAAUUAAAAAAAUUUCAUACAAUUUUUUUAAUUAUUGUAUUCAAGUUAAAAAGAAAUCUUGGUGUCCCUUUUAAAUUUAAGGGUUUUUGUAGCUUUGGAGAUGCAGGUCCUUUUUUCUUUUUUCUAAUAGAAAACUUUUGUUUGUUUUUUGAAUUUAAUAGUAACUAAUAGGAUUGAAUUUUUUUAUUCACUUAUUGCUACAUUAUAAAGGAGAACGAUGAGUCCCUAUUAAAACUCAUUCCCUUUACGACGAGGAAAUAAACAAAUUCAUUUUGUAUGGACCAUUAAUUCAGUGCACAUACCCAUACGAUUGUAAUAAAAUCUGAAGAGUUUAAGUCUAAAAUCAUAGCAGCAGAAAUGCUGUUAGAAAGAAUUUGUAUAAAGCGAUUCUUGCAUUAAUAGAAGAUUUUACAAUGUUAAAACUAUUCGUGUAUGCAAAACUUAAUCUCAUAUGAGUAAGAAAAAGCCACCAAGAGCCCUUAGAUUUGGUUAAAGGGUUAAAAUUUGUUCGGUCUCUGUAUUUCAAGGUAAGUGUUCAUUUAGUCCAUAUAUUUUUUAAAAUACUUCUAAACAUGUAAAUUAUUAAACUAUUGACACCCCUAUCAUUAAGUUUUUUUAUUUUAACUUGCUUUUAUAAUGUUACCCUUUUAUAAUAAUAUUUUUUUUAAUGUUUUUUU
RNAcentral lists this long non-coding RNA (680 nucleotides) under Citrus x clementina. RNAcentral describes it as "Citrus clementina (C. clementina) long non-coding RNA (CCLE_LNC004020)". Lineage: Eukaryota; Viridiplantae; Streptophyta; Magnoliopsida; Sapindales; Rutaceae. The record is from RNAcentral.